AUUGAACGCUGGCGGCAGGCUUAACACAUGCAAGUCGAGCGGGGGAAGGUAGCUUGCUACCGGACCUAGCGGCGGACGGGUGAGUAAUGCUUAGGAAUCUGCCUAUUAGUGGGGGACAGCAUCUCGAAAGGGAUGCUAAUACCGCAUACGUCCUACGGGAGAAAGCAGGGGAUCUUCGGACCUUGCGCUAAUAGAUGAGCCUAAGUCGGAUUAGCUAGUUGGUGGGGUAAAGGCCUACCAAGGCGACGAUCUGUAGCGGGUCUGAGAGGAUGAUCCGCCACACUGGGACUGAGACACGGCCCAGACUCCUACGGGAGGCAGCAGUGGGGAAUAUUGGACAAUGGGGGGAACCCUGAUCCAGCCAUGCCGCGUGUGUGAAGAAGGCCUUAUGGUUGUAAAGCACUUUAAGCGAGGAGGAGGCUACUUUAGUUAAUUCCUGGAGAUAGUGGACGUUACUCGCAGAAUAAGCACCGGCUAACUCUGUGCCAGCCGCCGCCGUAA
This 501-nucleotide ribosomal RNA is filed under the name uncultured bacterium. RNAcentral describes it as "partial 16S ribosomal RNA". It matches the Rfam family "Bacterial small subunit ribosomal RNA", at positions 30 to 523 of the family's 1533-position model. The record is from RNAcentral.